GUUGAUCCUGCCAGUAGUCAUAUGCUUGUCUCAAAGAUUAAGCCAUGCAUGUCUUAGUAUAAGCUUCAAUUUUGUGAAACUGCAAAUGGCUCAUUAAAACAGUCACAAUGCAUUUGGCGAUCAAUUCUAAAUGGAUAUCUGUGGAAAUUCUAUAGUUAAUACAUGCACUAAAACUUAUCUUUGGGGAAAGGUUGUGGUCGUUAGUUACAGAACCAAUUCAAGCUAUGCUUGGACACUUGAAUGAUUCACAAUGACAAAUGAAUUACAUGGCAACAGCUGGUGAUAAUUCAUUCCAGUUUCUGACCUAUCAGCUUUCGACGGUAAGGUAUUGGCUUACCGUGGCAAUGACAGGUGACGGAGGAUUAGGGUUUGAUUCCGGAGAGGGAGCUUGAGAAAUGGCUACCACAUCUAAGGAAGGCAGCAGGCGCGCAAAUUACCCAAUCCUGGCACAGGGAGGUAGUGCCAAGAAAUAACAAUACAAGGCAUCCAUGUCUUGUACUUGGAAUGAAUGGAUUUUAAACCUUUCUAUAAGUAUCAAUUGGAGGGCAAGUCUGGUGCCAGCAGCCGCGGUAAUUCCAGCUCCAAUAGCGUAUAUUAAAGUUGUUGCGGUUAAAAAGCUCGUAGUUGGAUUUCUGCUGAGGAUGGCUGGUCCGCCCUCUGGGUGAGUAUUUGGCACAGCCUGAGCAUUUAUCUUGAAAGUACAACUGCACUUGACUGUGUGGUGUGUUAUUGAGAACAUUUACUUUGAGGAAAUCAGAGUGUUUCAAGCAGGUGUUUGGCCUUGAAUACAUUAGCAUGGAAUAAUAAUC
This 809-nucleotide ribosomal RNA is filed under the name Alexandrium tamarense. Its description in RNAcentral is "SSU rRNA". It matches the Rfam family "Eukaryotic small subunit ribosomal RNA", at positions 7 to 822 of the family's 1831-position model. Lineage: Eukaryota; Dinophyceae; Gonyaulacales; Pyrocystaceae. The record is from RNAcentral.